UCCCUGGUGGCUCAGAGGUUAAAGCGUCUGCCCGGAAUGCGGGAGACCCGGGUUCGAUCCCUGGGUCGGGAA
Bos taurus (domestic cattle) is the source of this 72-nucleotide non-coding RNA. NCBI's taxonomy places the organism in Eukaryota, Metazoa, Chordata, Mammalia, Artiodactyla, Bovidae. The record is from Rfam.